GACGAACGCUGGCGGCGUGCUUAACACAUGCAAGUCGAACGGUAAGGCCCUUCGGGGUACACGAGUGGCGAACGGGUGAGUAACACGUGGGUGAUCUGCCCUGCACUUCGGGAUAAGCCUGGGAAACUGGGUCUAAUACCGGAUAGGACUCCGGACUGCAUGGUCUGGGGUGGAAAGCUUUUGCGGUGUGGGAUGGGCCCGCGGCCUAUCAGCUUGUUGGUGGGGUGAUGGCCUACCAAGGCGACGACGGGUAGCCGGCCUGAGAGGGUGACCGGCCACACUGGGACUGAGAUACGGCCCAGACUCCUACGGGAGGCAGCAGUGGGGAAUAUUGCACAAUGGGCGCAAGCCUGAUGCAGCGACGCCGCGUGAGGGAUGACGGCCUUCGGGUUGUAAACCUCUUUCAGCAGGGAAGAUAAUGACGGUACCUGCAGAAGAAGCUCCGGCUAACUACGUGCCAGCAGCCGCGGUAA
RNAcentral lists this ribosomal RNA (473 nucleotides) under uncultured bacterium. RNAcentral describes it as "partial 16S ribosomal RNA". It matches the Rfam family "Bacterial small subunit ribosomal RNA", at positions 28 to 523 of the family's 1533-position model. The record is from RNAcentral.